Molecule: ribosomal RNA, 204 nt
Filed under: Oxyrrhis marina
Lineage: Eukaryota; Dinophyceae; Oxyrrhinales; Oxyrrhinaceae
Description: partial Bacterial small subunit ribosomal RNA
Rfam family: Bacterial small subunit ribosomal RNA
Source: RNAcentral
UGAAGUUGGAAUCGCUAGUAAUGGCGCAUCAGCUACGGCGCCGUGAAUACGUUCCCAGGCCUUGUACACACCGCCCGUCACGUUAUGGAAGCCGGUUUUGCCCGAAGUAUGUUAGCUAACCCGCAAGGGAGGCGAUGUCCUAAGGUGAGGCUGGUAACUGGAACGAAGUCGAAACAAGGUAGCCGUAGGGGAACCUGCGGCUGG